RNAcentral lists this ribosomal RNA (429 nucleotides) under Acidobacteriota bacterium. RNAcentral's name for it is "Acidobacteria bacterium partial 16S ribosomal RNA". It matches the Rfam family "Bacterial small subunit ribosomal RNA", at positions 355 to 776 of the family's 1533-position model. The record is from RNAcentral. Lineage: Bacteria; Pseudomonadati; Acidobacteriota.
UGGGGAAUUUUGGACAAUGGGGGAAACCCUGAUCAAGCCAUCCCGCGUGUGCGAUGAAGGCCUUCGGGUUGUAAAGCACUUUUGGCAGGAAAGAAACGUCAUGGGUUAAUACCCCGUGAAACUGACGGUACCUGCAGAAUAAGCACCGGCUAACUACGUGCCAGCAGCCGCGGUAAUACGUAGGGUGCAAGCGUUAAUCGGAAUUACUGGGCGUAAAGCGUGCGCAGGCGGUUCGGAAAGAAAGAUGUGAAAUCCCAGAGCUCAACUUUGGAACUUCAUUUUUAACUACCGGGCUAGAGUGUGUCAGAGGGAGGUGGAAUUCCGCGUGUGGCAGUGAAAUGCGUAGAUAUGCGGAGGAACACCGAUGGCGAAGGCAGCCUCCUGGGAUAACACUGACGCUCAUGCACGAAAGCGUGGGGAGCAAACAGG